GCGUGAUCAUUCAAGACUCAACAUUUAGUCAUUUCCAUUUUAAUUAAGUUGUAAUUUAGUUUUCUAGAAGCCCUUAAUUAGAAUUAGGUGUUUUGGACCCCUUUAGGGGCAUUUUCUUAAAAACCAAUUGUGGGGGUCAUGUGGCAUCCCUAUAGGGCUGACUUGUAGUGUAUGGACCCCACCAAAAAUUGAUUUUCUCGGUUUUAGAAGGUAGAAUACCGAGCCACCACACACACACUUCCAUAACUCAAGGUUUUGGUUCAUUUUCCUAGGGUUUCUCUUGUUUUGGACAUGCUCUCAUGGGUGCUUGCUUGGUGCACGGUUUUGGACCAUUUUCAAUGAAUAUUAUGAAGAUUUUCUUCUUCCCUUGACUCACUCUUGGUUGUCUUAACUCAUUGGUGGUGAAAAUCCAUUCAUUCCUCCUUCCAUUUGCUUAUUUUUUAUGUUUGAAGCUUGAGUUUUUAAGCUUGUCUUUGCUUUUCUAUGGUGGUUGUUGGGUUUGAGUGACUUUAGAUUUUCGUUUCCUCUUCCAUUGCUGCUGUUCCUCACGUUUUUCUUUGCAUUUUAUUUGGUUGGUUGAUGAAAAUGGAAUUAUAUGUGAGUUUUGGGUUGAAUAGAGCUUAACUUGAUGUGUGGGUGUUGUGGGUUUGGCUCUUUUCCUUCAUAUUUCGGUUUUGAUGUUUGAAACUAGUUUGGAACCAGACUUUGAUGAUGUUACUGGGGCUAGACAGUGGUUGAGUUGAAUGGUAUAAUGUUAUUUUCGUUUUUUGCACAAGAGCUUGAAAAAAUGGAAGAUUGGGUUGAGUUAAAGUAGUAGUAGUGUAGGUUUAUUGUCUUGAAUGGAGUUGCAACUUCAAAUGGGGUCUCUUGGGUGCUCUUACGUUUUUAAAUGGUUUUUAUUUUAAAAAAAAUGGACCACUUUCGUAAUAUUAACUGCUUUAUAAUAUUAACUAAAAAGAAAUAAAAUAAAUGAGAAAUAUAUAAUAUUAAAUAAUAUAAUAUUGAAAAUGUAACCUCUCUUCUGUAUAAGGCUAAGAUUCUUCACUUGGUCCAUUUUAUUCGACCAUCAAACG
Molecule: long non-coding RNA, 1073 nt
Filed under: Vigna radiata
Lineage: Eukaryota; Viridiplantae; Streptophyta; Magnoliopsida; Fabales; Fabaceae
Description: long non-coding RNA (VRAD_LNC012907)
Source: RNAcentral